This 497-nucleotide ribosomal RNA is filed under the name uncultured soil bacterium. Its description in RNAcentral is "bacterial SSU rRNA". It matches the Rfam family "Bacterial small subunit ribosomal RNA", at positions 26 to 515 of the family's 1533-position model. The record is from RNAcentral.
AGAUUGAACGCUGGCGGCAGGCCUAACACAUGCAAGUCGAGCGGCAGCACGGGUACUUGUACCUGGUGGCGAGCGGCGGACGGGUGAGUAAUGCCUAGGAAUCUGCCUGGUAGUGGGGGAUAACGCUCGGAAACGGACGCUAAUACCGCAUACGUCCUACGGGAGAAAGCAGGGGACCUUCGGGCCUUGCGCUAUCAGAUGAGCCUAGGUCGGAUUAGCUAGUUGGUGAGGUAAUGGCUCACCAAGGCGACGAUCCGUAACUGGUCUGAGAGGAUGAUCAGUCACACUGGAACUGAGACACGGUCCAGACUCCUACGGGAGGCAGCAGUGGGGAAUAUUGGACAAUGGGCGAAAGCCUGAUCCAGCCAUGCCGCGUGUGUGAAGAAGGUCUUCGGAUUGUAAAGCAACUUUAAGUUGGGAGGAAGGCAUUUAACCUAAUACGUAAGUGUUUUGACGUUACCGACAGAAUAAGCACCGGCUAACUCUGUGCCAGCACG